This 483-nucleotide ribosomal RNA is filed under the name uncultured bacterium. Its description in RNAcentral is "bacterial SSU rRNA". It matches the Rfam family "Bacterial small subunit ribosomal RNA", at positions 30 to 507 of the family's 1533-position model. The record is from RNAcentral.
UUGAACGCUGGCGGCAUGCUUUACACAUGCAAGUCGAACGGUAACAGGGAGCUUGCUCCGCUGACGAGUGGCGAACGGGUGAGUAAUGCAUCGGAACGUGCCCAGUCGUGGGGGAUAACGCAGCGAAAGCUGUGCUAAUACCGCAUACGAUCUAUGGAUGAAAGCGGGGGACCGUAAGGCCUCGCGCGAUUGGAGCGGCCGAUGUCAGAUUAGCUAGUUGGUGGGGUAAAGGCCCACCAAGGCGACGAUCUGUAGCUGGUCUGAGAGGACGACCAGCCACACUGGAACUGAGACACGGUCCAGACUCCUACGGGAGGCAGCAGUGGGGAAUUUUGGACAAUGGGCGCAAGCCUGAUCCAGCAAUGCCGCGUGCAGGAAGAAGGCCUUCGGGUUGUAAACUGCUUUUGUACGGAACGAAACGGUCUGGGCUAAUACCCUGGGCUAAUGACGGUACCGUAAGAAUAAGCACCGGCUAACUACGUG